GGUCGCUGGUUUGUUUUGGCCAAACCAUGGUGUUUAGUAACAUCUUUAUGGUCUCGAAGUUUAGCCAGAUAGUGACAGCACUGAAAACAAAGAAGGCUGAAAAGAACAGGUAGAUAGGGAAGUGCAAAAGAGAAAGAAAAAGAUGACAAGAAAGAUUAAAUGAAGAGAGGCUUGGAUAGAUUGGAUUUGAGGCGAGGGAAACAAUAGUAGGAAAGAAGAGCAAAGUUAAAUUGAGAAGAGAGAAAAGAAAGAAAGCAUAUACAUAAAGAGACAGAGAUACUGCAAGGAGCAUGACAGAAGGAGAGCAGACAAAGAGAAGAUAUCGCAUCAGGGACUUGGUGAGCAAGAGCGACCAAAAAGAGUGAGGAAGGCUGGAAUAUAAAGAGAGAAAGAGAGAGGGGAAGAGAGGGAAGGAAGAGGCAGGCUUUGCCUUUUCUGGUAGUUAAAGCUGCUGAAAGGGCGAACAGGAAUUCUUUGUGCUGCUGCAGGGCUAAGAUAUAAACCAGACUGCCGAGGUGAUAUAGUGAGAGAGAAGGGAGUGCUGCCCAUGGACUAAACGUUGCUGCUACAGCUAAGCCAGAACAGGAAAAACUUUUGCCGUCCCACCAUGGAUGAUGACUUUGACCGCCGUAUGGAGCUGAGGAGACAGAGGAGGGAACAGAUGCGCCUCGAGGCAGAGGGUACGAGCUACGGUUCGACCAAUGAAGAUGACGAGGAGGGGGCCCGUGAGAAGAGGAGGCUGGCUCGCGAGGAGCGAAUGAAAAACAAGGAGACUGAAGACUCCAGCAGCACUGUGGAUGAAGUUAUCAACACCAACAGCGUGUCAGAGACAGAGUCAUCUUCUGUCAGUGCUGUGAGCUCGUCGGGCGUUGGUGAGGACGACACAGUCCUGCUGGAUCGUCUGGCUAAGAGGGAGGAACGCAGGCAGAAGAGGAUGAUGGAGGCCCUGGAGAGACAGAAGGAGUUUGACCCCACCAUCACCACCACCAACGGCACAGAUGUCAGUCCAGAGGAUCAGUCCUCCAACCACAGGGGGCACAACCAAGAAGAAGAGGAGAAGGAGGUAGGGGUAACCUCCGAGACCAACUCCUGGAGGAGAGAAGAGGAGGAUGAGCAGAAGGAGGAAGUGAAGGUGCAAAAAGAACCCCUGAAAGAGGAGGAGUGUGCACCUGUUCCUAAGCCAGAGCCAAAGAAGGCAGAGGAGAAGAAUGAGGAAGAGGAAGAGGAGGAGAGACCAAGUAGGUCUUUGAGAGAACAGGAGGAGGUUGAGGAGAAGCCGGUAGUAUCAGACAGAGAGGUAGAGAAAACAGAUGUAGAGAAGGAAGAAGAGGUAAAGGAAGAUGAGACAGAAACAUUGCGGAGAGAAGCAGAGGAAAAGGCCAAGAGAGAAGCAGAAGAUAAAGCUAGGAGGGAAGAAGAAGAAAAGGCCAAAAGAGAAGCAGAAGAAACAGCUAGAAGAGAAGCGGAGGAAAUGGAAAGAAGAAAAGCUGAAGAAAAAUCAAAGAAAGAAGCAGAAGAAACAUUGAAGAAAGAAUUAGAGGAGAAAUCUAAGAAAGAGGCAGAAGAAAAGGCAAAGAGAGAAGCAGAAGAAAAGGCAAAGAGAGAAGCAGAAAAAAAACAGAAGAAAGAACUGGAGGAGAAAUUGAAGAAAGAGGCAGAGGAGAAGGUUCAGAAGGAAGCGCAGGAGAAGGCAAAGCGAGAAGCAGAGGAAAAAGCGAAAAAAGAAGCACAGACCAAAGCUAAGAAAGAAGAAGAACAAGCUCAAAAAGCAAAGAAAGAGGCUGAAGCAAAGUCUCAGUUAUCCAAAAAAGCAGAAGAAAAAUCCCAGAAAGUUGUUGAGGAAAAGCCACACAAACUUGGCCUAAAGGAGAAGCAGCAGAAUGGAGGACUCCAUGACAACAGUGUCUCCAAAAACAAGAAACCAGAAAGAACCCUAAGCCCUGGCACCACCGGCUCCACUGAAGCAGAGGACCUGAAGCGUCAGGAAGCGGAGCGUAAGCUGGAGGAGUUGAAGCGUCGCCGCGACGAUGCAGAGAGCAAGGAGUUGGAGAAGAUGAAGCAAAAGCAGCAUGAAGCAGAGGCAGAGGUCGGGGAACUGAAGAAGAAGAGGGAGGAGAGGAGGAAGAUCCUAGAGGAGGAGGAAAGACAGAAGAAAGAGGAAAUGGCAGAGAAGAAGGCCAAAGAGCAGGAGGAAAGGAGGAAGAUGAAGGAGGAGAUUGAACGAAGGAGAGCGGAGGCUGCGGAGAAGAAGAAGCAAAUGGGGGAGGGAUCUGCCGACGCAAAGCUAGCCUUCUCGUGUCUCACCCCCAAGGGCUCCUCUAAGAUCGGGGAGAGGGCAGAGUUCCUGAACAAGUCAGCCCAGAAGAGCAGUUCAGUCAGGACAUCACACACUCCUAUUGUCUCCAAAAUAGGCAACAGACUGGAACAAUACACUACUGCCAUACAGAGCAACAAGGACACCAAGUCACCUAAGUCCCCAGUCACGGACCUCCCUGUGGGCGGCACACGCAGCAUCAAGAAUAUGUGGGAGAAAGGCAACGUCAUAGGGGCCUCUGAGAGCCCAGCUGCUACAAAUAAGGAUGCCGCUGGUAUCAAAGUGGGCGUUGCAGGGCGUGUCAACGACUGGCUGGCCAAACCCCCAGAGGCGGGCAAGGCAGCGGCCGGUGCGCCUGGGGACCUGAAACCAGUUGAUGUCACCAACAAGCGUGGCCUAUGGGAAACCAAGAAGAGCUCUACUCCUGCCAAGUCGACUUAACUGAUGGGGAAAGGAGGUGACAGAUGGAAGCAACAUCAAAUCUGUCACUAAUGCAGGAAAGGGACACUAACCAUUAAAUACUCACUGAGAAGACCCUGACUGAACAAGUGCGAUACUCAACCAUGUGUUUUCAUGAACUGAACUACACAUCACCUCCCAGGGUACAUGUGAGGUUUUCAGAAAUGGGCAAGAAAAAAAAUUAUGUAUAUAAACAAUGUAUUUAAAACCCUCAAACUUGGUGGUAAAGCACUUGAACAAUGUCUAUCAUUCCUUUAAAUAAUGUAUGCUGUGAAAAAAAGAUAUUUGAUCAACUUGAUUUAACCAUCAAAAACAUUUGUGUUUAAAACCAUGUCCCAACCAUUAUGUGCUUGACUUAAUUUCUUUACUGAAUAAAAUAAAUUCAAAGAAUGACAAACUUUACAAUUGUCUUCAAAACAGUAGACCUUACAGCUUUGGUAACCCUGUUGAGCAGUUACCCCAGCAUACACAGACAUUUGAAGUUAUUGAUAUGGGUCAUUUGUCCCCAGAAGCAUGUAGCCUACUGUUUCAAACAUUUAUUUUUGCAAACGUUUCACGUUAGCUUGCUGUCUUGCCACAUCCUACCAAAUUCAGGAUAAAUUAAUGUCACACAUUCAUGCUCAUAGUAUAAUGUCAUUGUGAUGUAGUGCAUAUUCUUUGCAUAUGAAUGGGAAUUGUAGUCUCAUAUUUUAUCGUCAUACACUUAUCACAGCUUUUUAGAGAUAUAUUCACAGUUUGAUAUACUCACAUUCUGAUACUGAAAUGCAAUACCAGUGAAAUAGUAAAUAGUCAAAAUAGACAGAUUGUUAGAUCACAGCAGAUUUUCCAAAAGGCUUUGUUUUGUUUUUUUGACCACAGAUAUCCACUAAGCUGGAUAAUGAGUGAUUAGCCUGUACUUACUUGACUUGUUUUUGUCCAAUGAAUAAUUUUGAAAGAGAAAACAGAAAUCAUUAGGAUAAUAAGCACUGGUGGCUAUACCUAUUUAACACCUCUGAGUGGCAUUGCCCCAGACUUCAGAAGUUUUCCAGGUGGUGAACAACUCCUGUCCAUGAGCAAGUGUUAGUUUGAAACCAAAACAAUGUAAAGGCCUAACCUGGAAAAGUUGGACAGAAUUGAAAAAUGAUUCAGUCAUAUGUUUCACAGUUUUACUUGUACAUCAGUUUUUUUCUUAAGGAACUUCCCUUCAAUGUCAGCGACACAAAACAUAUGGGUUCACAACAAAAUAUCUCCACACCAUGAAUUAGAAUGUUCAUUGUGAAAGAGAACAAUUAUAUAUUUGUUUACAAUUUUAAAUGGGUAUUUUAAUGGGGGGUUCUCACACAAUUAGCUUCAAUAUGAUGCCUUGUUAGUUCAUGUUUGUAAUGUACUAGAUAGAUUAGAUUUGGCAGACAAGGGAAUUUCUAGAACCUGUACUCAAGUUUCACAGGAAGAGUCUGAGUAUGAAGUUGAUCUCUAUGAACGGUCCGUUUGACACCUGUCUGACUUACUAGUAUUCUUAUUAGUAUUGUUGUUAUUAUUAACCAUUUCUGUUUGUAAUUUGGAUUGUUUUGUUUGAAGGUCAUGUUUGAAGCUUUACCAUUGUCCCUGCUUCAGCAAUAAAAAGAAAUGUGGAGUG
This is an RNA transcript of Osmerus eperlanus (European smelt), 4388 nucleotides long. It is a transcript of the gene named non-muscle caldesmon-like, with no coding region annotated. The record is from RefSeq and is a predicted model, not a curated record. The transcript is spliced from 17 exons. NCBI's taxonomy places the organism in Eukaryota, Metazoa, Chordata, Actinopteri, Osmeriformes, Osmeridae.